UACGGGAGGCAGCAGUGGGGAAUAUUGGACAAUGGGGGAAACCCUGAUCCAGCCAUGCGGGGUGUGUGAAGAAGGUCUUCGGAUUGUAAAGCACUUUAAGUUGGGAGGAAGUGUAGUAACUUAAUACGUUGGUAUAUGACUUUGACUUACCGA
This 153-nucleotide ribosomal RNA is filed under the name uncultured bacterium. RNAcentral's name for it is "partial 16S ribosomal RNA". It matches the Rfam family "Bacterial small subunit ribosomal RNA", at positions 340 to 485 of the family's 1533-position model. The record is from RNAcentral.